RNAcentral lists this ribosomal RNA (468 nucleotides) under uncultured bacterium. Its description in RNAcentral is "bacterial SSU rRNA". It matches the Rfam family "Bacterial small subunit ribosomal RNA", at positions 328 to 793 of the family's 1533-position model. The record is from RNAcentral.
CGCUAUCACUCCUACGGGAGGCAGCAGUGAGGAAUAUUGGGCAAUGGACGAAAGUCUGACCCAGCCAUGCCGCGUGCAGGAUGACGGCCCUACGGGUUGUAAACUGCUUUUAUACAGGAAUAAACCCCCGAACGUGUUCGGGGCUGAAGGUACUGUAAGAAUAAGGAUCGGCUAACUCCGUGCCAGCAGCCGCGGUAAUACGGAGGAUCCAAGCGUUAUCCGGAUUUAUUGGGUUUAAAGGGUCCGCAGGCGGGAUAUUAAGUCAGUGGUGAAAGCCUACAGCUUAACUGUAGAACUGCCAUUGAUACUGGUAUUCUUGAGUGUAGUUGAGGUGGGCGGAAUAAGUCAUGUAGCGGUGAAAUGCAUAGAUAUGACUUAGAACACCGAUUGCGAAGGCAGCUCACUAAACUACUACUGACGCUGAGGGACGAAAGCGUGGGGAGCGAACAGGAUUAGAUACCCUGGUAG